CGGGUCCUGGUGCGGGCGCGGCGCGCCUCGGCCUCCGCCCGGGCGUGGGCGGCGGCGACCAGCCGCUCCACGGCACUGGCUUCGUGGAACUCGGC
Molecule: transfer RNA, 95 nt
Filed under: Streptomyces albidoflavus
Lineage: Bacteria; Bacillati; Actinomycetota; Actinomycetes; Kitasatosporales; Streptomycetaceae
Description: tRNA-Gly
Source: RNAcentral